RNAcentral lists this ribosomal RNA (832 nucleotides) under Brachyplatys subaeneus. RNAcentral's name for it is "partial 16S ribosomal RNA". The stretch from base 494 to 656 matches the Rfam family "Archaeal large subunit ribosomal RNA", at positions 1887 to 2086 of the family's 2987-position model. Lineage: Eukaryota; Metazoa; Arthropoda; Insecta; Hemiptera; Plataspidae. The record is from RNAcentral.
AAGUAAAUAAUAUUAUUGUACCUUUUGUAUCAGGGUUUAUCAAUUUAAUUUAUUUAUUUAAAUAAUUUUCCCGAAACUGCAAGGGAUAUCAUAAUUUGGUAUUUAUUGUUUUAUAAAUAUUAUGAAAUUUAUGAUAGGUAAUAUAUUUUAUUCAAUUGCUGAUAUCUGGUUUUUUGAUAGAUGAAUUUAAUUCAGGGUUAAUUUAAUUAAUUAUAUAAUUUUAUUUUAUAUUAUUUAUUUAAUCUAAGAUUAAAGGGGAUAAGCUCUUUUUUUAUUUUAUAACUAAUAUUUUAUUAUCUAAAAUUUUGUAGGAUUAACAAUGUCCUUCAUUUGUUUUAAAUAUUUUGUUAUUAUUAUUUUUUUGUUAAUAUAUUUUAAUUUAUUAUUAGUUUAAUUUUUUAUCAAUUCUUUUUAUUUAACAUUAAAAUAUAAUUUAUAAUGAUAAAAUUAGUAAUUUUGUUUAUUUAUUUAUAGUAACUCGGCAAAUUUGAUUUUCACCUGUUUAUCAAAAACAUGUCCUGUUGUUAUUUAUUUCAGGUCAAACCUGCUCAAUGAUUAAUUUAUAAUUAAUUUAAUAGCCGCAGUAUUUUGACUGUGCAAAGGUAGCAUAAUCAUUUGUCUUUUAAUUGAAGGCUUGUAUGAAUGGUUUCAUGAAAUUUCUGCUUUCUUUAUUUAAACUUUUGAAUUUAACUUUUUAGUUAAAAGGCUAAAAUUUAUUUAUGGGACGAGAAGACCCUAUAGAAAUUUAUAUUUAUAUUUGUAUUUACAUUUUUGUUUAUUAAUUAAUAUUUUUAUUUAUUUAAAUAUUUUGUUGGGGCGACUUAGAGAUUUU